AAAGUCGUAACAAGGUUUCCGUAGGUGAACCUGCGGAAGGAUCAUUACAAAUCCAAAACAAUUACCCGUUAAAAUGUUCUCGGCCUUGGAAACAUGAUUGUCUCAUCGUCAUUAAAAGUCGAUGAUACAUCAUAGUUAGCGUUGUAUGGGUGCGUGAUGAGAGUGAGGUCAGUCUUGUUCAUUCGAACAUUUCGAUAGACAAACCGACGUAUUCUCUUCAACCACGUGCACAUAUCUAGCCCUAACACCAAGGCUCGAAUUAAUGACUUUAACUCUUUGGACAUACUUAAUCAUGUCGUUCACUCGACACAACACUAAAACAACUUUUAACAAUGGAUCUCUAGGCUCUU
RNAcentral lists this unclassified non-coding RNA (350 nucleotides) under Basidiomycota sp. Its description in RNAcentral is "partial contains small subunit ribosomal RNA, internal transcribed spacer 1, and 5.8S ribosomal RNA". The stretch from base 1 to 47 matches the Rfam family "Eukaryotic small subunit ribosomal RNA", at positions 1785 to 1831 of the family's 1831-position model. Lineage: Eukaryota; Fungi; Basidiomycota. The record is from RNAcentral.